This 811-nucleotide long non-coding RNA is filed under the name Anas platyrhynchos platyrhynchos (common mallard). RNAcentral describes it as "lncRNA (ENSAPLG00000027973.1)". Lineage: Eukaryota; Metazoa; Chordata; Aves; Anseriformes; Anatidae. The record is from RNAcentral.
UUUGUCUCUAAGUGUUAAAUUAUGAUUUAUAGGUAAACUGCAGUGAAGGCAAUUCCAGUUUAACUUUGAGCUCUUCAUGCAGAAGUAUUCUUAAUGGAAGGCUACAAUGAACUGGCUGUUUAAGAGAGAUUAUAAUGGACAAAAGGAAAAUAUGCAGGUGGAACCCACCAGGCACCUCUGCCAUCUGAACCCCCAACAUACGGCAGUGCUUUCCCUUCUGCAAAGCAGUGGCUGCUUGCAGGAAUCACCUCAGACCUUUUCCAGCUGAAAUACAAAGAGAGCCAUCUGGCCCGGACAUCCCUGGCAAUUGGAGGAACCCUGCAAUGUUUCCACAAUAUGAACAAAGUGUAAAGAUAGGCAGGUUGCAAACUCCUUGGAGCUGGCAUGGGGGAAGACCUUUUUACUUGUGAGACACUGUUAAACAGGCUACUUGUAUAAUCCCAGCUUCUCCCAAGGCCUCUGCUGGAGCAAAGGUCCAAUCUGGAAGCAGCGUCCUGCUAUGUUAACAGAUGGACAUGAGUAAGGCAGCCAAAAGACCAGAGAAAAAUAGAUUCUUGCAGAGAAGUUACAGAAAAGGAGUUCAUCAAAACUGAAGGAUGUAGACAGCUGUUAACAAGUUUGUAGACUGCAGUGAGGAGACGUAAUUAUAACAUAACUGCACAUAAACAGGGAACUAGGAUUAAGAUUUCAGCAACAGAAAAGCAGGUUGUUGUUGUUGUUUUUUUUUUCUAAUGUGAGUCACCAACAGGCAUCUACUGUUUUUUGUGAAAGCAGGUUCAUUACCCUCCAUGGACAACACUGUGUCUUGUCA